UGAGGAACAUGACCUUCGGCGGGGGAUAGCCGGCCCAACGGCCGGGUAAUACCGCGUACGACCACAUGGGGACAUCCCCGAGUGGUGAAAGCAGCAAUGCGCCGAUGGAGUGCCUCGCGGCCUAUCAGCUAGUUGGUGGGGUCAUGGCUCACCAAGGCGACGACGGGUAGCUGGUCUGAGAGGACGACCAGCCACACUGGAACUGAGAUACGGUCCAGACUCCGUAGGGAGG
RNAcentral lists this ribosomal RNA (232 nucleotides) under uncultured bacterium. RNAcentral describes it as "partial 16S ribosomal RNA". It matches the Rfam family "Bacterial small subunit ribosomal RNA", at positions 118 to 348 of the family's 1533-position model. The record is from RNAcentral.